Molecule: ribosomal RNA, 568 nt
Filed under: uncultured bacterium
Lineage: Bacteria
Description: bacterial SSU rRNA
Rfam family: Bacterial small subunit ribosomal RNA
Source: RNAcentral
CCUACGGGAGGCAGCAGUGGGGAAUAUUGCACAAUGGGCGAAAGCCUGAUGCAGCAACGCCGCGUGAGGGAUGAAGGCCUUCGGGUUGUAAACCUCUUUUAGCAGGGAAGAAGCGAAAGUGACGGUACCUGCAGAAAAAGCACCGGCUAACUACGUGCCAGCAGCCGCGGUAAUACGUAGGGUGCAAGCGUUGUCCGGAAUUAUUGGGCGUAAAGAGCUCGUAGGCGGUUUGUCGCGUCUGCUGUGAAAAUCCGAGGCUCAACCUCGGACCUGCAGUGGGUACGGGCAAACUAGAGUGCGGUAGGGGAGAUGGGAAUUCCUGGUGUAGCGGUGGAAUGCGCAGAUAUCAGGAGGAACACCGAUGGCGAAGGCACAUCUCUGGGCCGUAACUGACGCUGAGGAGCGAAAGCGUGGGGAGCGAACAGGAUUAGAUACCCUGGUAGUCCACGCCGUAAACGGUGGGUGCUAGUUGUGGGUUCCAUUCCACGGAAUCUGUGACGAAGUUAACACAUUAAGCACCCCGCCUGGGGAGUACGGUCGCAAGACUAAAACUCAAAGGAAUUGACGG